UGGGGAAUAUUGCACAAUGGGCGCAAGCCUGAUGCAGCCAUGCCGCGUGUGUGAAAGAAGGCCUUCGGGUUGUAAAGCACUUUCAGCGAGGAGGAAGGUGGUGAACUUAAUACGUUCAUCAAUUGACGUUACUCGCAGAAGAAGCACCGGCUAACUCCGUGCCAGCAGCCGCGGUAAUACGGAGGGUGCAAGCGUUAAUCGGAAUUACUGGGCGUAAAGCGCACGCAGGCGGUUUGUUAAGUCAGNUGUGAAAUCCCCGGGCUCAACCUGGGAACUGCAUUUGAAACUGGCAAGCUAGAGUCUCGUAGAGGGGGGUAGAAUUCCAGGUGUAGCGGUGAAAUGCGUAGAGAUCUGGAGGAAUACCGGUGGCGAAGGCGGCCCCCUGGACGAAGACUGACGCUCAGGUGCGAAAAGCGUGGGGCAGCAAACAGGAUUAGAUACCCUGGUAGUCCACGCUGUAAAACGAUGUCGAUUUGGAGGUUGUGCCCUUGAGGCGUGGCUUCCGGAGCUAACGCGUUAAAUCGACCGCC
This 530-nucleotide ribosomal RNA is filed under the name uncultured bacterium. Its description in RNAcentral is "partial 16S ribosomal RNA". It matches the Rfam family "Bacterial small subunit ribosomal RNA", at positions 355 to 873 of the family's 1533-position model. The record is from RNAcentral.